RNAcentral lists this unclassified non-coding RNA (329 nucleotides) under soil metagenome. RNAcentral describes it as "partial contains 5.8S ribosomal RNA, internal transcribed spacer 2, and large subunit ribosomal RNA". The stretch from base 1 to 120 matches the Rfam family "5.8S ribosomal RNA", at positions 35 to 154 of the family's 154-position model. The record is from RNAcentral.
GAUGAAGAACGUAGCGAAAUGCGAUAAGUAAUGUGAAUUGCUGAAUUCAGUGAAUCAUCGAAUCUUUGAACGCACAUUGCGCCCCUUGGUAUUCCGAGGGGCAUGCCUGCUCGAGCGUCAUUAUAACCCCUCAAGCUCAGCUUGGUGUUGGGGCCUGCUGCACUGGCAGCCCUUAAAAUCAGUGGCGGCGCCAUCUGGCUCUAAGCGUAGUAAUUCUUCUCGCUAUGGAGUCCUGGUGGAUGCUUGCCAUCAACCCCCAAUUUUUCUAUGGUUGACCUCGGAUCAGGUAGGGAUACCCGCUGAACUUAAGCAUAUCAAUAAGCGGAGGA